This is a long non-coding RNA of Triticum aestivum (bread wheat), 1908 nucleotides long. RefSeq lists it as uncharacterized. The record is from RefSeq and is a predicted model, not a curated record. The transcript has 9 exons. Lineage: Eukaryota; Viridiplantae; Streptophyta; Magnoliopsida; Poales; Poaceae.
CCCGAGGGAUUUGCCAAUCCCCUCCGCCCGCGCGUCAAAACCCUAGCCGCCAGCCCUGCUCGUCCCGAGCCUGCGCCCACUCCGCCCCGUUCUCCUCCCCGCUCCCUCCAUCCUCUCCCAUGGCGCCUCCCCUCUUCUCCCCACUCGCCUUGGCCGCGUCUUCUCCUCCCCCGCGUCGUCGGCCUCCUUCCUCCUCCUCCCCCCUCUCUCCUUCGUCAUCACACGGGUCUUCCGGCCAGCGCCGGGGUGCAGUUGACGGCGGCCUCAGCGGGUGGGCGAUGGCGGCCGCAGCUGAUGCACAAGCUCGCAUCGCCCUGGCGCCGAUCUCGCGCGGCUCCUGCGCCUCGCCACCCUCUUCUCCCCAGCUCAGCAGGAGGUUUGCGAGGCCACCACUUGGGCCGCUGCUGCCUCUUCCACCCAGCAGGAGGAGCACGAGGUGAGCAGCAACAACGGGGACAGGCGACCUCGGGGAGAGUUUGCGGAGGGGCGCAUAUCAGAUCCUUUCUGAAUCCGAUGGUGUCAAUCGAGCCACAGAGAGGAAGUGAGUUGGAGAUGAGAUGGGGACAGAAGAUCCUGCUCGGCUGGUUCCAAGACCGUGAGGGGAAGGACUUCCUGUUGUCCGCCGGAGGGGAAAGAGCAGAGAUCCGAGAGACGAAGCAACCAGAGGAGCCGGAGAACACGACCCCUGUCCUAUGUACCGGCCACAUCCCCCACAGCUUCUGCGAGGACCAGAUGCAAGGUUUCUUUUAGCAGCCUGGGGUUAUUAAGAAGAGGGUCAGUAUUGCCCAGAACCGCAAGAGAGUGGAAGUUUUAGAAUGGUGCGGACAGGUUGAGAGCAAUAGAUGUUUUUUUAAGUCCUAGGCGAGCACUCCAGAUUGUUACUAACGAGAAUGGAAUUCAAGAAGAUAUACUUUUGGCAUUGUCUUAUUACCUCUCGUAUCUGAUAGAUAACACAAAGUUAUCAGUUUAGUUGGAAAAAGAAAAAGUCCAGAUCAAUUGUGAGGAUAUGAUCAUUGGCAUACUUACCCCCUGAUGAUGCCUCAUUUCUUCAGAAUUUGAGGCUGUUCUUGAUAUGCCAGGACAAAUUUGAUUUUGGGAAGACAAAGGUCCGACAAGGAUGAGAAUGGGAUACCAGAUUACAACGAUGGAGGCUCGGACAUGGAUCUGCUCAUGCUCUCAGCGGGAAUACUGGAUGUUCUCGAAGCUUUGUCUUACACACGUGCUACUUUUGGCACUUGCGUGGGCUCCAGUUUGUGUCAAUGCAAUUUGCAUCUGUCAGCGGAUUAUGGUGAGCUUGGUUAUUGGCCUACAGGGUGCUCCACCGAUGGUGAAAAUACCUCACAGGAUGAUGUUGGAUAUUAUUCUACAAACUUCGGGCCUACCGGUGGCUGAGUAUCGAAGCAAAAUGUGACAGUGGCAUGAUGUGGAUGACUAUAAUUUCCAUACACCAACAUUAUCUUUUGGAGAUAAAAUAGCUGUAUGGCUAUUACAUGAGACCAUGUCAGAAGACCCUGCUGCUAUGGAAGCAAAAUGAUUCAUGAAAUCUGCGGUGAAAACAGAGAUAAGAUACUACAAUUACAGCAGCAUUGAGAAACCGAGGACACGAAAUGAGUCUGAAAAAUGCUAUGGGCUAAUUCGUUCUAGCUAGGCGAUUUGUGGUAGAAGCUGUACUCACAGGAAGACUAUCGUGCUGUGUAUAAACCACGUUCUACGAUUCACUUCUGUUAUGCAUAUUUACUUUCCAGUUUUAGGACUGAAAUCCAUCCAUUGUAAUGAAUUUGGUUGUAUGGGCAUUACCUAUUUGACUUAGGCUUGCUUCAUCACAUAUAGAUUGCUUUUCUUUUCCCCACUACUUGUAUGACCUAAAACUAUCAUGUAUAUGAGGCAAGUUAUUAGCAAUGUUUCACA